CCUACGGGGAGCAGCAGUAGGGAAUAUUGCACAAUGGGGGAAACCCUGAUGCAGCAACGCCGCGUGGAGGAAGAAGGUUCUCGGUAUGUAAACCUCUUUUGUUAGAGAAGAUAAUGACGGUAUCUAACGAAUAAGCACCGGCUAACUCCGUGCCAGCAGCCGCGGUAAUACGGAGGGUGCAAGCGUUACCCGGAUUUACUGGGCGUAAAGAGAGCGUAGGCGGGAUAAUAAGUCAGAUGUGAAAUCCUGUAGCUUAACUACAGAACUGCAUUUGAAACUGUUAGUCUGGAGUGUAGGAGAGGUAGGUGGAAUUCUUGGUGUAGGGGUAAAAUGCGUAGAGAUCAGGAGGAAUACUGAUGGCGAAGGCGACCUGCUGGAACAUUACUGACGCUGAUGCACGAAAGCGUGGGGAGCAAACAGGAUUAGAUACCCGAGUAGUC
Molecule: ribosomal RNA, 440 nt
Filed under: uncultured bacterium
Lineage: Bacteria
Description: partial 16S ribosomal RNA
Rfam family: Bacterial small subunit ribosomal RNA
Source: RNAcentral